Molecule: long non-coding RNA, 505 nt
Filed under: Rattus norvegicus (Norway rat)
Lineage: Eukaryota; Metazoa; Chordata; Mammalia; Rodentia; Muridae
Description: long non-coding RNA NONRATT031685
Source: RNAcentral
CUUGUGGUCUUAGGUGACCCCUGUGAAUGAGUUGUUUGACGUCCUAAGGGGAUACAACCCACAGGUUGAGAACAACUGCCUCAAGAACUACAACAGCCAAGACCAACCUGAUGUCAGACAUAGCGAAGAAGGCACGGCCCCCUUUCCUACCAGUUUUUGGGUGUUUGAAUUUAAUCUGCAACUGCCAGCUACCCAGUCUCAGGCAAAUGACAUUACACUGUACCAUUGCAAAGGGAUCUGUGGCAUAAAUAAAUGUAUCGGGAGGUCAAGAGGUCAAGAGCAUAAACGAGGCAAAGAUUUCAAAGAAAUCACCGACCAAAUGAUUUAUAAAUCAUGGAAAACACUGCUCCGGCCAUAAAAGAGAAAUUAAAUUUAUACAUCAUGAGCUUCAGGAUGCCUUGGGUUCUGGUGGGUAACUGGGUUAGAAAUAGAAGCACUUAUGUCAUCCUGCCGCUGGUCUGGAGCCUUGCUAUAGUGGCAUUUACCCUAGGACCUUAAAUCAGGA